Molecule: ribosomal RNA, 565 nt
Filed under: uncultured bacterium
Lineage: Bacteria
Description: partial 16S ribosomal RNA
Source: RNAcentral
GCCGUAGCCCGCAUUCGUCCCCAACAAAAGAGCUUUACACCCCUAGGGGCUUCAUCACUCACGCGGCGUCGCUGCGUCAGGCUUUCGCCCAUUGCGCAAGAUUCCUCACUGCUGCCUCCCGUAGGAGUCUGGGCCGUAUCUCAGUCCCAGUGUGGCUGGUCGUCCUCUCAGACCAGCUACCCAUCGUCGCCUUGGUGGGCCGUUACCCCGCCAACAAGCUAAUAGGACGCAGACCCAUCCUCGAGCGCCUUUCGGCUUUGAUCCGUCCCACUUAUGUAGGUCGGAUAACAUGCGGUAUUAGACCCGGUUUCCCGAGCUUGUCCCCCACUCGAGGGCAGGUUGUCUACGCGUUACUCACCCGUCCGCCACGCUACUAAGGGCUCCCUUGCGGGAACCCCUUCGCGUUCGACUUGCAUGUGUUAAGCGCGCCGCUAGCGUUCGUCCUGAGCCAUGAUCAAACUCUAAUCGAAUUCCCGCGGCGCCAUGGCGGSCGGGAGCAUGCGACGUCGGGCCCAAUUCGCCCUAUAGKGAGUCGUAUUACAAUUCACUGGCCCGYSGUUUUACA